GGCUGAUUAGCUCAGUUGGUUAGAGCGUGAUGCUCGUAACACCAAGGUUGCUGGUUCUAUCCCCGCAUGGGCCA
This is a non-coding RNA of Rhinolophus ferrumequinum (greater horseshoe bat), 74 nucleotides long. The record is from the annotation of a RefSeq genome assembly. NCBI's taxonomy places the organism in Eukaryota, Metazoa, Chordata, Mammalia, Chiroptera, Rhinolophidae.